GGCCAGGACCUGGGGCCAGGGCAGAGGGGCACCAGAAGGGUCAGGGCCAGGUGCUCACUGGUUUCAGCCAAACUCCUGGAGGCCCAGCAAGGGUGGAAGGGCUGGAGGGGGAGGGUCGGGCCAGGCAGGACUCAGGAAGGGCGGGAGAGCCUUGCCUCUGUCCUGACCCCACCUCUCCACCCCAGCAGAGAGCCUCUGGCCUGUCCUCCCACUGCUGGAGUGAAGUUUAAGAGAUGUGCCCACACCCCAACCCCAACCUGCCAUGUGACCUCAUUUGGGAAAAGGGGCUUGGCAGGUGUAAGUAAGACUCUCAAGAUGAAAAUCUUGGAUUUUCCGGUGGGCCCUAAGUCCAAUGACCAGGGUCCUUAUAAAAGACACCCAGAGUUGUUCUCUGGUGACGAAGCAGGUUAAGGAUCCAGUGUUGUCACUGCUGUGGUUCAGGUCACAGCUGUGGUACAGAUUUGAUUCCUGGCCCUGGAACUUCUGCAUGGCGUGGGCAUGUCCAGAAGAAAAAAAAAAAAGGAGAGAAAAAGACACCCAGAGGAGAGACAGAGUGAAGAGUUUAAGGUGAUGUGAAGAUGGAGGCACACAUGAUUCUUGCAGCCACAAGCCAAGAAUCACCUGAGCACAGGCAGCUCGGAGGGGAAGGGUCGAGACUCUCUAGAGCCUCUGGAGGGGAGUGGUCCAGCUGACACCUUGAUUUUGGACGUGUGGGCUUCAGAACUGUGAGAGAAUAAAUUACUGUGUUAUGUGUGAGCAUUUGUUACCAUAGCUCUAGGAAGCUAAUCCUGUGGGGAAGCUAAUUCAAAGGAAAAGCGGUCUCCUGGGAGGUGGGGGAUUUUGGCUCCAACCCUGGUGCUACUGGAGACUCGUCGAGAGCCUGCAGACAAGUCACUUCCCCUCUCUGGGCCUCAGUUUCUUUAGCACUAAGACAAUGCACGAUAAAAGAGCAUUAGAUACCAUGCAAAAUGGAUAUAACCAUAGCUCGGGUUAUGCACAAAAGUAAGGAUUGUCAUUCUUGUCCAUAGUUAAAAUAUGACUAUGAUUUUAUAUGCUUUAUUUAUGAGCAAUUGUGGAUAAUGCCAGAAUGUUGUUUUAUUUUGUUUGGUUUUUAUGGCCGCACGUCUGGCUUAUGGAAGUUCCCAGGCUAGGGGCUGAAUCGGAGCUGCAGCUGCUGGCCUACACCACAGCCAUGGCAACGGCCGAUCCAAGCCAUGGCCAGGCUGCAGCUCAUGGCAAGGCCAGAUGCUUAAUGCAUUGAGCAAGGCCAGGAAUCAAAACCGCAUCCUCACGAGUGCUGGUUGGGUUCUUAACCUGCUGAGCUACAAUGCGAACGCUAAGAAUGUUGUUUUAAACCAGGUUCUGGAGGAGGAUUAAAAUUAGUGCCCGUACCACCAUGGACAUAAAAAAGAGAGCACGUUUCUUGUUAGGGCCAAUCAGCCGGACCAGCGCAGCAGCGUGGGAUUGGCUGAGGAGGAGGAGGCCCUUCCCAGGAUACCUCGCUGAGGAAGGAAGCUGGGAGCACAGCCUUCCAGGCGGGCUCCAGGCAUCUGGAGCUUCAGUGAGGUGGAGGGGCCCAGCCAGGGGGCUGCUGUCUGCCAGGGCAGUUCCCACUGGCCAGGGCCAUCCUGCGGGGGACCUCAGAACCUGGCUGAGCAUCCCUCACUACCUGCCAGGACGUAGAAUGAUCUGGAGCCCCUCCCCCAUUCCCCAGCUGACAGUGGGCAGCCCCUCUGGCCCCACAAUUCCAGGAACAUUGGGAAAACUCCUGACCAAAUGCCAGUCCCGGUGCCUGAAAUUCUACCAGCCAAACUCUGGCCUUGAAAGAUUUUUCUUCUUCUAAACUCACUUAUGGAAAUAAACAUUCUGGAGAAGGAGAAACCUCCGCUGCCUGCUCUGUCUCCUGCCUGACUGCCAGCUAGAUUCAGCGCCCCUUCCUCCCCACCUGCGCGGCCCAGGAGAGACAGGCUCUGCCAUCGCUACCUGGCUGGUCCGGGUGAUGCAGCGGCGGACCAGGUCCCUGAGGUUGUUGUGCUUGUCCGUCUGGAAGUACACGGUGGCGCUGGACUUUUCCUUCAGUGACUGAAACCCCCAUUAGGUGGAAGAAGUUAACUCCAUGCUGCCCACAAGCAUGUAGCCUCCAAACCAGUUGGAACCAGAAGGUUGAUGUUGACUCCUGAUGACCUCGCCACCAAGCAAUCAGAAGAAGGUCUGAGCGGAUCACCCACCCUGACACCCGCCUCCCUCCCCCUGUCUUUAAAACCUUUUCCUGGAAGCCACUGGGGAGCUUGGGUCUUAAAGGCACUAGCUGCCUGGACUCCUGGCUGGGCGUUCUGUACUUUCCUUCCCCACACCCUGGUGUCAGUAGAUUGGCUUCACGGCACAUGGGCGAGGGGACCCAAAUUUGGUUCCAUAACAUAACCACCAGCACAAUCAAGAUGUAGGAUAUCUCCAUCACUGCCAAAAAGUCCCCAUUUUCUUCUGUAGUUAACUACUUCCCCCACCCCCAACCCCUGGGAACUACUGAUCAGUUAUCGUUCCCAAAAGUUUUGCCUAUUCCAGAAUGUCCUAUAAAUGGGAUCAUAUAGUGUGAGCCUUUUGAGUCUGGCUUCUUUCUCUUAGCAAAAUAUACUUGGGAUACCUUCAUAUUGCGCCCCUGCUUAAGUCCUUUUUUUUGGCUGAGUAGUGUUUUCUUGCAUGGAUAUAACAUACUUUGUUUAUCCCUUUCUUUGUUGAAAAACAUUUAGUUACUUCCAGUUUGGGGCUUUUAUGAAUAAAGCUGCUGUAAAUACUCUAUAGAGUUUUUCGUAUGAACAUAAGUCUUUAUUUCACUUAGAUGAAUACCUGGGAGUAUAGCUGGGGGAUUGCUGGGUCUAUGGUAGGUGUAUAGGUAACUUAUAAGAAACUGUCAAACUGUUUUCUAAGAUCCUGUACCAUUUUACGUGCCCACGACUCAUGCAGGAGACUUCUGCUAGCUCCACAUCUUCGUUGGUGCAUAGACUUUACAAAAUGAUAAUAUCCACUGCUGGUGACAGCUGCAUAGUUCAUGAGACCCAAUGCAAAAUGAAAACAAGGAGGCCCCUUGUUUAAAGCAAAAGGAAAAAGUAUCAUUAAUGGUAUUAAAAUAGAUUUUCCUUUCUUCUGCAGUCUUUCAUUUUCUCAUGGUAUUUAUU
Sus scrofa (pig) is the source of this 3173-nucleotide non-coding RNA. The record is from RefSeq and is a predicted model, not a curated record. Lineage: Eukaryota; Metazoa; Chordata; Mammalia; Artiodactyla; Suidae.